RNAcentral lists this long non-coding RNA (1029 nucleotides) under Capra hircus (goat). Its description in RNAcentral is "lncRNA (ENSCHIG00010013760.1)". The record is from RNAcentral. Lineage: Eukaryota; Metazoa; Chordata; Mammalia; Artiodactyla; Bovidae.
AAAGAAGCAGCGGCUUCCCUGCCUCUCAGGGGCCCGGGCUGGCGAGCUCCCGGGCAAGAGCCGGCACCCGGUAGGGAAACCAGGCGCCGGGUGACCGGCCUCCGGCCAACUGCUAACCCGGCCGGGCACUGCAGGCGCAGUUACGCGCGGCCCGCGCACGCAGCUUUCCCGGGCACACGGCGGCCUUCUCGAAAGAUAGCCCAGUGCUGCCCACGACCCAGGGCUGCUGUCGCCCAAGGCGAGUGGAGCUUCGCGGACCUCAACCUAGGUGCUGCUCCCCAAAGGGAAAAGGCGCGAUCUCCAUUCAAGCCCACCCUACCGAGUCUCCCAGUACCCGGUCCCUUCUCCCCAGGAGCUCUCGGACACCCCUCCGGGUGCCCACCCGAGAACGGGCUCGCUUCGGAAGGAAGUGGAGUGGACUCGAGAGAGCGAGACUGGAGUGAAGAGAGCGGCGGACUCCAGUCUGCAGCAAUUGGGGAGGGCUCGGAAAAGGGAGCGAACGAAGAGAAUCGAGGCAGGGUAGGGGCCCAGCGGUCCCAGCAACCUGUAGGAUUGCAGCUGAUCGCAAACUUGGGGUGGGAGGCAGACAGUGGUCCCCUCGGAGGUCCUCCACCCGACAGCCACCCCUUGCGCUCCGCGCGCGCGGAGAGGUGCAGGACGCAACUUGGGAAGCCAAGGCCAUCGGUGCGGGUCCCGAUCGGUCGCCUCCCCCCGUCCCNNNNNNNNNNNNNNNNNNNNNNNNNNNNNNNNNNNNNNNNAGCCGCAGCCCCCGCCGCCCAGAAGCAGAGCCCCAGCCAAGGGAGCCACCGGCGCGCCCCUCCAGCGCCUCUUCCUGCGGCGGCCGCUCUCCCCAUACUGCUCGCCCCGCUUAGGAGUACAGGUCCUCUUCCGCUACCCGGGAAAGGCUCGGCGAACCAGGGGGGCCGAGGAGAGUGGGUCCCGGGGGUCUUCAGCGAGCGACUGUUCCACGGCCGCUCCCUACAGCAGCGGGGCAGGGCGCUCCGAGCCGCCGCGCGCUGGGCACCCUAA